UACAGAGGCCAAGAGCGUUGUUCGGAUUUACUGGGCGUAAAUGGCGCGUAGGCGGCGUGGCGUGUCAAGUGGGAAAUCUCCGGGCCCAACCCGGAAAGUGCGCUUGAAACUACCACGCUCAAGUGCGGAAGGGGGAAUCGGAAUACAAGGUGUAGCAGUGAAAUGCGUUGAUAUCCUGUAGAACACCGGAGGCGAAGGCGGAUUCCUUGUACGCAACUGACGCUGAGGCGCGAAAGCCGGGGGAGCAAAC
This 250-nucleotide ribosomal RNA is filed under the name uncultured prokaryote. RNAcentral describes it as "partial 16S ribosomal RNA". It matches the Rfam family "Bacterial small subunit ribosomal RNA", at positions 524 to 773 of the family's 1533-position model. The record is from RNAcentral.